RNAcentral lists this ribosomal RNA (497 nucleotides) under uncultured bacterium. RNAcentral describes it as "partial 16S ribosomal RNA". It matches the Rfam family "Bacterial small subunit ribosomal RNA", at positions 28 to 507 of the family's 1533-position model. The record is from RNAcentral.
GAUGAACGCUGGCGGCGUGCCUAAUACAUGCAAGUCGAGCGAACAGACGAGGAGCUUGCUCCUCUGACGUUAGCGGCGGACGGGUGAGUAACACGUGGAUAACCUACCUAUAAGACUGGGAUAACUUCGGGAAACCGGAGCUAAUACCGGAUAAUAUAUUGAACCGCAUGGUUCAAUAGUGAAAGACGGUUUUGCUGUCACUUAUAGAUGGAUCCGCGCCGCAUUAGCUAGUUGGUAAGGUAACGGCUUACCAAGGCGACGAUGCGUAGCCGACCUGAGAGGGUGAUCGGCCACACUGGAACUGAGACACGGUCCAGACUCCUACGGGAAGCAGCAGUAGGGAAUCUUCCGCAAUGGGCGGAAGCCUGACGGAGCAACGCCGCGUGAGUGAUGAAGGUCUUCGGAUCGUAAAACUCUGUUAUUAGGGAAGAACAAAUGUGUAAGUAACUAUGCACGUCUUGACGGUACCUAAUCAGAAAGCCACGGCUAACUACGUG